This 162-nucleotide ribosomal RNA is filed under the name Diospyros mun. Its description in RNAcentral is "5.8S ribosomal RNA". The stretch from base 1 to 88 matches the Rfam family "5.8S ribosomal RNA", at positions 69 to 154 of the family's 154-position model. Rfam says of the family: 5.8S ribosomal RNA (5.8S rRNA) is a component of the large subunit of the eukaryotic ribosome. It is transcribed by RNA polymerase I as part of the 45S precursor that also contains 18S and 28S rRNA. Lineage: Eukaryota; Viridiplantae; Streptophyta; Magnoliopsida; Ericales; Ebenaceae. The record is from RNAcentral.
GAAUUGCAGAAUCCCGUGAACCAUCGAGUCUUUGAACGCAAGUUGCGCCCGAAGCCAUCCGGCCGAGGGCACGUCUGCCUGGGCGUCACGCACGCCGUCGCCCCCUCGCCCCGCGCCGUCCCCCAAGGGGACGGGUGCGCGGGCGGCAGGGCGGAGCCUGGC